UACGUAGGGUGCGAGCGUUAAUCGGAAUUACUGGGCGUAAAGCGUGCGCAGGCGGUUGUGCAAGACAGAUGUGAAAUCCCCGGGCUUAACCUGGGAACUGCAUUUGUGACUGCACGGCUAGAGUGUGUCAGAGGGGGGUAGAAUUCCACGUGUAGCAGUGAAAUGCGUAGAUAUGUGGAGGAAUACCGAUGGCGAAGGCAGCCCCCUGGGAUAACACUACGCUCAUGCACGAAAGCGUGGGGAGCAAACAGG
Molecule: ribosomal RNA, 252 nt
Filed under: uncultured bacterium
Lineage: Bacteria
Description: partial 16S ribosomal RNA
Rfam family: Bacterial small subunit ribosomal RNA
Source: RNAcentral